CAUCUUCCUCACCCUCGCCUUGAUCACCCGCUCUCAAACCUUCAUGGUGUGACUUAUUAAUUUGAUACCCCUAUAGUUGUUGCAGCACUGGAUGUCCCCUUUGUUCUUGUACCAGGGCACCACUAUACUCCACCUCCACUCCUCCGGCAUCCUUUUGGUCCUGAAGAUCGCAUUGAACAAUCUCGAGAGCCACUCCACUCCGGACCUACCCAUGC
Molecule: long non-coding RNA, 215 nt
Filed under: Nicotiana benthamiana
Lineage: Eukaryota; Viridiplantae; Streptophyta; Magnoliopsida; Solanales; Solanaceae
Description: long non-coding RNA (NBEN_LNC040805)
Source: RNAcentral